GGUGCUGAACAUGUUUCAUUUUGGUGCGAAACAAGAUGCAUAUAAGAUGAAGAAGAGCCGAUCGUCGUCAACAUGCAUGGGCAAACCUGAUGGCCAUCCAGAUUUCUACCGCAAUGCAGGAUACUUAGCACACUAACACUGGUUUUUAAAUCAAACUGAUGUUUUAUUUACUAUAUUCCUGAAUGGGCACUAUUGUUCGUUUAUUUUUUUCAUUUUUAAAAUUUUUAAUUUUAAAUUGAAGGGUGAGC
Molecule: long non-coding RNA, 248 nt
Filed under: Elaeis guineensis (African oil palm)
Lineage: Eukaryota; Viridiplantae; Streptophyta; Magnoliopsida; Arecales; Arecaceae
Description: long non-coding RNA (EGUI_LNC004357)
Source: RNAcentral